UUUUUUUUGGUGACCUUUUUGUCAGCCUGAUCUAGGAAAAUAAAACCAGGAGACUUCUGGGAACACAGGGACCCAACUUUCUCCUUCUGCUUCCUGACAAGUUGCCUGAUCUUUCUAGCCCAUUCUGCACCACCAUCCCUGCUCCACGCCUCCCAAGAUUCUGCUCUCUUUGAGAAAGGGGACUAGGUAGAAGUGAGGAGCCAAUCAAGUUAUAUCCAAAUUCAGUUUAUUAUGGGACACUUCUCCAUGGGGCUGUACUGUAUAUGUAUUAGAAUAAUUCCAUGCGCUUGGUAAAUAUAUCAUUAUGUGCUGGCUUAUUUGUUUUCACUCUGCUAGAAUCAACAAGAAGUCACACAAGAUCAACCCAUAUUAUUUUGUGGCUUAUGAGAAGCAACAUGCCAACCAGUAGUUAAUCUUCAUGGUGAAGCAAAGAACACAAAAUUUGGAUUUAAAAAAGAAAAGCUACAGAGAGGAAGGAAAAAGGCUGCUGCUCAUUCUAUAGUAUGGUAUUGUUCCUGAAAGGUCAUCCAUCCAUGAAGAAAACCACCAGGAGAAAUUUCACCUGCCAAACUUGCUGGGUAUGCCAAGAUUUCAAGGACUUGGCUGCUCUUUACUUGGGCCAUUUCUCAGGAUUGUGUUUGCAGCAAGAAACCCAAGGGAUGAGGUAACGUCUCCCUCUGGGACAAAGAACAAGCCUGCUUACUGCCUACAAUGACAUGGCAGGUUCCUCCAACUCAGCAUUCUUCUUCUGUAAUGUGACCUAUGGCCUGUGCAAGCAUCCACCUGAGCCCUUCACGUCAGACUUGGGAGGCAAGGGGAACUGAUGCAAACAAAUCUGAUGCUUAUGCUACCUGUUGUAUUAUGAGCAAUAAAGUCCUUUGU
Long non-coding RNA from Neofelis nebulosa (Clouded leopard), 882 nucleotides. RefSeq lists it as uncharacterized. NCBI's taxonomy places the organism in Eukaryota, Metazoa, Chordata, Mammalia, Carnivora, Felidae. The transcript is spliced from 3 exons. The record is from RefSeq and is a predicted model, not a curated record.